AAUAAAUAGAAUCACCAUGGCAAAUCCGGAACAACUAAGAGAGGCUUUUAAAGGCAAGAUUGCCUUCUCCAGAAGCUCAUUCUUCAAGUCCCCUCCCCAUGCAAGCAAAGAAAGGCAUGCGCUGUGAAAGUUGCAUGGGUGAGAUACUACUUCAUUCAAAUUCUUCAUCUUAAAACUGCACAGCAAAGAAGAUGUCUUUCCCUGCCUAGAAUUUAAAAAAUGUGUUUUAAAAAUAUAUUUCCUGUGUACAUUUAGUCACUGCAUUAUUGAUCACACCUAGCACAUAGUAGGUAGGUAAAGGGUUGUUGGAUGACAUAUAUAACGUAUGGAACACCCUAUGCGUUGCUAAUUCCUGCUACCAUCUCAGAAAAGAGCUUGAAUUUUUUGUCAGUUUCAAGCAACGAAAGCCCCUUGUCACGCAGCUCUUGUGUUUAAGGUCUCCACAAAUAGGAAAUACCUUCUUGUUUAUUUCUUGACCUGUGUGUGACUGUUGUAUCUGAAGUUUAGCUCCAGAAAUAAAAGAAAAAAAAAUCCACAAACAAUUUUUUUAAAGACUCUCCCUCAAUGCUGUUUGCUGCCACCCUUUUUUUUUUUCCCUUGGCUUCCUUCUUUCAGCAUGACAUCCUCUCAAACGCUACCUGACAGACUGCUGCAAUCACCCUGUGAAUGCUUGUCGUGACAAACUGAGAUGAGGUUUGUCAAGUGUUCAGCACAGAAAAUGCUCAACAUCUCCCUCUGGAUGUCCAGCAGUUACUUCAAAUGCAUCCCCCAAGGCAGUUCAUCUUCCAUGUAACUAUAAUAAUCACAGUAAAAAGCUACUGG
Molecule: long non-coding RNA, 822 nt
Filed under: Homo sapiens (human)
Lineage: Eukaryota; Metazoa; Chordata; Mammalia; Primates; Hominidae
Description: HSALNT0320599
Source: RNAcentral